This 462-nucleotide ribosomal RNA is filed under the name uncultured bacterium. RNAcentral describes it as "partial 16S ribosomal RNA". It matches the Rfam family "Bacterial small subunit ribosomal RNA", at positions 29 to 507 of the family's 1533-position model. The record is from RNAcentral.
AGUGAACGCUGGCGGCGUGCCUAAUACAUGCAAGUCGAACGAACGAAUAAGAGCUUGCUCUUAUAAGUUAGUGGCGCACGGGUGAGUAAUAUAUAGCUAAUCUGCCUCUUAGUAGAGGAUAACAGUCGGAAACGAUUGCUAAUACUCUAUACUUCUGCUUUACAUAAGUAAAGUAGAGAAAGUUUUUCGCUAAGAGAUGAGGCUAUACUGUAUCAGCUAGUUGGUAAGGUAACGGCUUACCAAGGCUAUGACGCAUAACUGGUCUGAGAGGAUGAUCAGUCACAUUGGAACUGAGACACGGUCCAAACUCCUACGGGAGACAGCAGUAGGGAAUAUUGCGCAAUGGGGGAAACCCUGACGCAGCAACGCCGCGUGGAGGAUGACACCUUUCGGAGCGUAAACUCCUUUUAUCGGGAAAGAAUAAUGACGGUACCCGAUGAAUAAGCACCGGCUAACUCCGUG